CCUACGGGUCGCAGCAGUAGGGAAUCUUCGGCAAUGGACGAAAGUCUGACCGAGCAACGCCGCGUGAGUGAAGAAGGUUUUCGGAUCGUAAAACUCUGUUGUUAGAGAAGAACAAGUAGGAGAGUAACUGCUCUUACCUCGACGGUAUCUAACCAGAAAGCCACGGCUAACCACGUGCCAGCAGCCGCGGUAAUACGUAGGUGGCAAGCGGUGUCCGGAUUUAUUGGGCGUAAAGCGAGCGCAGGCGGUCUUUUAAGUCCGAUGUGAAAGCCCUCGGCUCAACCGAGGAAGGUCAUUAGAAACUGGAGGACUUGAGUGCAGAAGAGGAGAGUGGAAUUCCAUGUGUAGCGGUGAAAUGCGUAGAUAUAUGGAGGAACACCAGUGGCGAAGGCGACUCUCUGGUCUGUAACUGACGCUGAGGCUCGAAAGCGUGGGGAGCAAACAGGAUUAGAUACCCCAGUAGUC
This 465-nucleotide ribosomal RNA is filed under the name uncultured bacterium. Its description in RNAcentral is "bacterial SSU rRNA". It matches the Rfam family "Bacterial small subunit ribosomal RNA", at positions 338 to 795 of the family's 1533-position model. The record is from RNAcentral.